Molecule: ribosomal RNA, 253 nt
Filed under: uncultured bacterium
Lineage: Bacteria
Description: partial 16S ribosomal RNA
Rfam family: Bacterial small subunit ribosomal RNA
Source: RNAcentral
UACGUAGGGGGCGAGCGUUGUCCGGAAUCAUUGGGCGUAAAGAGCGUGUAGGCGGCCAGAAAAGUCCGCUGUGAAAACUCGAGGCUCAACUUCGAGCUGUCGGUGGAAACUUUCUGGCUAGAGUCCGGAAGAGGAGAAUGGAAUUCCUGGUGUAGCGGUGAAAUGCGCAGAUAUCAGGAGGAACACCGGUGGCGAAGGCGGAUCUCUGGGCCUUACCUGACGCUCAGGCACGAAAGCUAGGGGAGCGAACAGG